RNAcentral lists this ribosomal RNA (92 nucleotides) under Staphylococcus aureus. RNAcentral describes it as "partial 16S ribosomal RNA". It matches the Rfam family "Bacterial small subunit ribosomal RNA", at positions 1442 to 1533 of the family's 1533-position model. Lineage: Bacteria; Bacillati; Bacillota; Bacilli; Caryophanales; Staphylococcaceae. RNAcentral also lists the same sequence under 2 other names. The record is from RNAcentral.
UUUGGAGCUAGCCGUCGAAGGUGGGACAAAUGAUUGGGGUGAAGUCGUAACAAGGUAGCCGUAUCGGAAGGUGCGGCUGGAUCACCUCCUUU